Molecule: non-coding RNA, 2999 nt
Organism: Petromyzon marinus (sea lamprey)
Lineage: Eukaryota; Metazoa; Chordata; Hyperoartia; Petromyzontiformes; Petromyzontidae
Source: RefSeq, a predicted model, not a curated record
AAAAAUAGACUAAAUUAAACCAUGGGGAGGUGGACAAAAGAGUUAGUGCAAAGUUGUGUUUGACACCACCAACAUUCAGCAAUCGAUGCAGCCACAUCGUCAAGUAAAUACUAUGGAAAUUAUAAAGCACUUACUUGUAGUUUUCCCCUCUUCCAAUAUUGUGCGAUAUGUUCUUCCAUAAUACGCUUGGUAUAUGUUUCUCAGAGGUUACAAUCCUACCAAUACUUGAGUAUAUAAAUGAAUAAUAACUGAGUACUGUAUAUCAAAUAUUUGCGUUGUCAUGUUAACUAUGGCACAUGUUCAAACUACUGACCCAUGAAAGAUUUACGAAUGAAGCUUUUAUAAAGAAAGCACCUGAAAAACAGUCAUAACAUAUCAUGGUAGAGUCACUCACACGUAAGACUGUAAAAACUCCUCCCACACAUUGGGCAAGGCUUGGGGAAAUGUCAGUCACUGAUAAAAAAUGGCUCUGAGCCCGCCCACAUGACAUGGAUGUACCCUUAUAACUACGAGUGAAUUUGACCGUUUGGAUCAGGCUCGACAAGACUCCCCUCAAAACAUCUACUCGACAGAGCUCCUUCAUCUGGUAAGAUAGCUUCACCAACAUCAAGUCAUGAAUAUUGCAAUGAGCACGCUGUGCCUGAUGCUGUUCAUCGUUCACGCACAAGCACAGGAUUCAGACAAGCCUCCGCAAAAAGAAAGAAUUGAACCGACUACUUUUAUAUCAAUCAUCAAUGCAUGUGUGGGAGUUAUUCCGAUUAUAAAGGGCUUCACGAAAACAAAAGAGUUUACCUGCCAAGCGGGAAUGAAUGAUACGUUGAGUACAGUACGUUGUCUCCCUGAACAAAAAUUCUGUGUCACUGCAAACGUAACUGUUGGGAAUUACACAUUCAUUUACAAGAGCUGUGCUUCGGACCUGGAUUGUGUCUUUAAAGAACGCAUUCGAAAAAUGGUACUCAACGAUGUAGUAGAUGCGUAUGAAGAUUCUCGUGGGUGCAUCCUAAAUAGCUAUGACUGCAACAGCGGCCCACAUGGUGGUCCACCUCGUUCCCUGGCUCUGCUUAUCCCCCCCAUUCUAUCCCUCCUUGUAUUUUCCAGCUAACUUUCUCGCAGGGCUAGGUACGCACAAUAACCCUACCGUUGCUGUUAAGUGUGGGACUAAUCUAUUCAGACAGUUGCUCUUAACUUUUUCACAAAGGGUACUCAUUGUUUGUAAUUAACAACCAUGAAUUAAUGUGUACGUUAAUGUUACGUUAAUGCAAUCACAACGAGUACUUUACUCAGUGUUUAUAAUAAUCAAAUUUGCUUUUAAUUGUAACCCCCCCCCCCAUAAACUUAUGACCAUGAUAAGCACUGAACAAUAGUGCCACACGUUCCUUUCUACCUCUACCAAAGCGUCUCUCUACUGAGGAAUGCUUUUGUUUUUACUUAACAGGAAGCUAAUAAGAAUGGAUUGGUGUAGAAUGGUGAUGCAAAAGUUGGUACACUCCAUGAUGAAUCCAGAGACCUGGGUCUGAUUCCCGGCCAUGGCUAACACCAGUGGUCAAGUGAACCGGUUCUGGGCCCGCCUUCACCAUUCCACACUGCCCACUCGUGGUGACGCAUGAAACCGUCCAUGACUGCAAGGCAUGGGGAGGUCUUUAGUGAGCAGUGGUGUUUAUAAAGGAACGUUCAACAAUUGAAUCAUGAAAAAACAUGUAAACGAUAUAUACUUUCAUCAAUUUGUAAUGCGCUUGAACAAAUGUAGUUUAUGCUGGAGUAUGUUAAAACUAAAUUAGCUUCCACUUCCCGAGUGGAAGGAUAAAAAAAGCCCUCUCCAGUUCGCCCGCUCUGCUCUGCCACGCUCGUGGUUGUUGCCACUCCCAUUGUGCAGCUUCCUUGAACCAGCGAUAAGCCCAUUCAUGAACUAUGAGACAGCGUUAUGUGUUUUUUAUAUAUUAAAGUGUGUAACAAGGUGUGUGUUUUUUCUUAUAUUAUCGCAGAUUGGGAAAACUACAUUAUAAAAAAAUUAAGCAAUUUAAUCAUUCGAGAAAAUAAUGGUGAUUAUGGACGCCUUUUCUUUAAUGACAUGUGAUAUUGCUGGAAAAUAUAUAAUAAAUGUUGCCUAUCAAUAUUGUGCGUAAACAGUGUUCAUGUAGCUUGUAGGAAGCCUUCAACCUUUUUUUCAAAGCACCAACAUUCUCUCCCGCAAAUAUCAAAACACGAAAUAUUGGAACCAGGCGGGGUUCGUUCACUAGAGGUGUUGGGGCGCCGCCCCACCAAGGAGCUGGAGAUGAGAAAUUAUAUUUCUAAUUUUAAAAAAAGUUUCUAUAAAUAGUUUUAUUGUGUUAAAAAAAAAUGAUUAUUUCAAUGUGAAUUGCCGAAUGAAGAGCAAAUGUUAAGUUCACAUGAGAAACCGCUGGAACACCACAGUCUGAUUUGUGCCCUCGGGGAGGUCUCGGGUCGGCUGUGAAGGCGUCCGAGUGAGAGAUUUCCCUUUUUCGUUGCGACGAGCUUCGCAUUUUAGCUACGACGUUUGAGACCAAUUCAGAGCGGUGAAAAAGGGUGCCCGUGGCUGCACUGAGACGAUGUCACGACGCGAGGUUGCACCGUGCAAAUGUAGCAGCUCACACGGCCUGCGCGCUCAAGGGGGAAACAGCAGCCAUGGGGAUGGCUGCAGUUGCAGUAAACUAAGAAUUAGCAACGGACAUUGGAGUCACUCCUAAAUAUUCCAUUUGGUCAUGGGAACAGCAUUCGAGUGCUUUGCUGUUCUUUUUCCUAUCGUUUAUGAAUGCCUACCUUUGGUAAAUAAGACAGUUAUAUCACUUUCACGGGAAGGCCAAUAAAAUGACGAUGUCUUGGCCUCCUGUGCGCUGCGUUGCAUCACUAUCCGUGUAGUUAACCUCGCAUUCAAUAAACUUUCAGAGUCAGGGUGAACAUCUGACUCCAACGGAUUUAAUGAAUAGUACGAGGUAAAACUGAUGGAAAAACACAGCACAAAAUACAGCAUCUGUUAAUAC